Long non-coding RNA from Dicentrarchus labrax (European seabass), 171 nucleotides. RefSeq lists it as uncharacterized. Lineage: Eukaryota; Metazoa; Chordata; Actinopteri; Moronidae. The record is from RefSeq and is a predicted model, not a curated record. The transcript has 3 exons.
ACAGGUAGUAUUACAGGUGGUAUUACAGGUGGUAUUACAGGUAGUAUUACAGGUGGUAUUACAGGUGGUAUUACAGGUGGUAUUACAGGUGGUAUUACAGGUAGUAUUACAGGCAGUAUUACAGGUGGUAUUACAGGUGGUAUUACAGGUAGUAUUACAGGUAGUAUUACA